ACCAGCAAUAAUUGGGCAUUCUUGCUAUUUAGAUUCUGCAUACUCAAGACCAUGUGAGCCCCGUGGUUUGGCUGGUAGUGAUGUCCUGUUCUUUUGGAUAAUUGGAAUCCAGACAUCACCAACAGACUGUGUUCAAAAUUCACCUCGAGUAUGGAAAGGCCAUAGAAGUGAGCUGGAUUGGAAGAGGAGCAGCUGCGACUAGAACCUGUGCCCAUAUGGGACACCGGCACUUCAGGCCAGGACUUUAACCCACUGCACCAUGGCGCCAGCCCAGCAAGUGGAGAGGGGAAAUGAGAGACUGAAAAGAAAAGAAGGAUAAAAUUACUAAGAGCUAAAAGAUAACAUAAGUCAACCAUAGCGGUCCUUUGAACUGGAAAGAUCCAAAUCCUUGAGGCCUGUUUCCACCCUCCUGUGUGUCUGCUCCUGUGCAACCCAUGUUGAGUGAACAAGUGAACAUUCCCUGAACAUCCCCUGUGUGUCAGCCCCAUUGUACUGGGAAAUU
Non-coding RNA from Oryctolagus cuniculus (rabbit), 502 nucleotides. NCBI's taxonomy places the organism in Eukaryota, Metazoa, Chordata, Mammalia, Lagomorpha, Leporidae. The record is from RefSeq and is a predicted model, not a curated record.